ACUGUUUGGGAACCUUUUGGCCUUUUUGAAGAUAGGCUAGUAUGAUUUGUGGUGGAAAAGCAUCAAACCCUGCUUUCCAGCUUUUCUUGUGCUGUUUUCAAGGUUGCUUUGAAGACUGUUUGUUGGCUCUGUUAGUAUCUUUGGAAAUGGUGAUUUGUAUUGGACAUGGAACUUCUGUAACUCUUGGAAAGGAUUUCUAAAUGUAUUGUCUACAGAACUAACCGUGGGUAUUUUUAGAGUCCAAAAUGUGAACUCAUUCACUAAUUGAGAAAUUAACUUUUUUUUCUUCUUCUUUCAGCGCUACGACUUGUUGUGAAGCAUUUACAGCUGCUCCACUUAUGCAUAUUUUCAAACAGGCAGGAUCUUUUGAAAACGAUACCUAAUGUUAUGUUAUUAAAAUGGCUAUCCAUACAAGGCAGAGUGUAAAAAUGAAAAUGCUGACAGGUUCAAGCAGGACAGUUUCAGGAAAGUAUGACUUGAGAGAGGCAGCCAGACAGACAAUCCAAAUGCUUCAGUUGGCAGGAUGAAGUGAUAUGCUAAUGUAAGAGAAAAGAGCCCUUGCUUUCUGUAAGUGCCUUCGUUGCAUCCCAAGAAGGAAAGCUGCUGCAUCAUUGAACCAGUUAGUCUCCAGUGUGCCACCCUGCCCAGAUUUCUUCCAAGGAAGGAGUAGUGGAUGUGAUCUCUGCAAAAAGAAAGCUUGUCUGGUAAAGAGCAAUUUUCCUCUUUAAGUAGCUUUUGACAUUAAAGCAAAGAACUCUCAAUACCAUAUUUUAUGUACUUUUGAAAAAUGGGCUGUUUACUUCGUUCUGUCUGUGCGGGAUAUGCAGAUUGAGGACUGUACUGUGUCAUACACAAACAUCUGCGACCCUGGGUAGAGUAUGUAAUGCUGUAAACGUUACAGUCCACGUGCUUGCACAGAGCAUUGCAUAGAAACUAGAAGAGUUUGUGCCAGAGCCAGGGGCACAGGAGUGGCUUUUUAAGAACUGUCCUUAUGUCUGUUUCUUUUAGUUUGUAGAGGUUAAAACUUUCUGAAACAUUAUGCAAAGCUGAGGUAUAGCACCCCUGCUAAUACAGUAUGUAAAUAUUCUCAUUACAUUUGGGGGGCAUAUUUCACCAUUUUGACAUAUAGCAGUGCUAUAGAGGGGCAUGACAAGGAGCAAUCUAUACCUGCAGCAAUGAUGAAGCAGUUAUAUUUCAGACAUAACAUCAUUCUUUGUAAAAAUAGUCCUCACUCUCUCUAGGCUAAAACAUCACGGCCACCUGUAAGGUUUGUUAUGCUACAGUCAAAACUGCAGUUGAAAGGGAUUUCUUCUUUCCUUUUAGUUUUGUUAACUUACGGAGGAGGAAAUAAUUUCAGUUCACUUUAGGAAUCGGUCCCGUUCCUUUGCACCUGUUUUCCCUAAGUUAGUCCUUGGAACAAUACCGGCUCAAUUAUAGUGAAGUAAUAUCAUGCAUUUUGAGCUUGUGGAAUCCACAGACCGCGUAAUUCUCUGCAUUUCCUCCCCCUUCCUUGCAUCCCACUUUUUGACAGUGUCCUUCUGCUGGAGCUAUGCUGGAAAACCUUGCAACCUUGCGUGUGCGUGUGUGCGUGCAUGUGUGUGCGUGUGCACACAUGCUGCAUGCAAAAUCCUACACUUUGUUUAGUCUGCAGAACCUCUUCUGUUAGCUAACGCUCCAGGCUCCGCAAAGGUGCAGUGAGAGAGGAGCACUAGUAAGUACCUAAGGCAGAAAGCAAACAAGGGCUUUAUCACUGGUCUUUAACUCCUAUCAAAAGGGGAGGGAGGGAGAAGUCAUUUAAACAUGAGGCUUGAAUGAAAAUUAGCAUGGAUUAGUCACAGUUGUCCCAGGAGUCCUGUUAUCUCAGGUCACAGGUACUUAUGGUAGGGAGUGGGGUACUUUACCUGUAGGAUCCCCAAGUGAAAGACUCUUGAGGGAGCCAAGAGGGGGAGGAAGAGUCCUGGGUCUGUUUUUAGCCAAAGGGAAUUCCCCUUGAGGCAUGGCAGGAGUAGUGUGUGUCUCCCUGUCUUUUCCCAGUGGAUGAGCUCCUGGGCAGUUCAUGCAUGGAGGAAGGAUGACUCUCUAGCCUGUUCCCCGCAGGUAAACGGCAACAAAUUGAACUGAUUUGGAGAAACAAGUGGGUUACGUCUGAGCAGCUUCCUUGCUUGCUAGUCAGUUGGCUGAAGAGUGGUUGAUGCUGAUGUUACUUAAUACUAGAUUUACCCUUCUGUGGCCCCUGGCAGAGAGAUCGGGGCAUUCAUCCUCCACUUUGCACAGACUGGAGGGAACAACCUGGCUCCCAUCUUAGUUUUGAAGAACUUCAUUGCUGAAAAAUCAAAUGCGCACGUGUUCCCUAAGGAACGUAUCCAUUCAAAGGCAUGAAAUAUAAACGUAUAUUGUUACGUGCAAAUGCUUUGCACAAGUACAUUUGCUGGAUGCAUUUGGUAUGUUCUUCAAGCAAGUAGUGUCGUUAGCUGUUAAAUUCUUGACUCCUCUGUUAGGCUUGGGACAGAAAUUACACACAAGCUGGUCUAAGAGAUUGGAAACAGGUUCAGAUCUGGAACACAACAGAAGGAUGGGGCACAUAAGCCACUUUCAAGAUUGCCGAAACAGGUUUAAGAUAAGCCUGGAUGGAUGUAGUAUUAGACUGAACUGAUUUAGAUUAAACUGGUUUAUUGUACUUCUGACCCAGACCCUCUCCAGAUUCAUAUUAACACAUAGUCCCCCAGCAUCCCUGGACCUCUGCCAGCCUGCAAGGGAAAAGCCACCUUUGCCCACGUUUUCCUCCAUUAAAAGACAAUCCACCCUUAAAGUUUGUUGAUCCAGUUUUAAAGUUUGUUCGUGACCCUUUCAUAGGCACUUGUGACCCCCUUUUGGGACACAACCCGCGAACUGAGAACCGCUGCGGUAGAGCAGCAGGGUCGGUCGCGGAGCGCGCUGCUGCGGAGCGGAGGGGCAGUGCCGCUCAACCCUGUGAGACGGGUCCCACGUACCAGAUCAGACCUCUUUGUGGGCCAGAUUAAGCCUGUGGGCUGGAGAUUGCCACCCCCUCUUAUAGCUCCUUUUCAGCUGGGGCUUUGUAGAUGCUCCUGUUACCUUGUUUCUACAUCGAAAGACUCGUGCUACACGGCAGGGUAGGCUUUCACCUCGUAGACUAAGUCAAUCAGAGGUGCGUAAGCUUUUGUAAGCGAGCUCGCUUCAUACCCCUUUCUUUUUCCUCCCUUCCCUACCCUUUGUUUUCCAGUAACUGCUCUCUGUUUAGAACCGCUGCUUCCUGAAACGUCUUGUUUGACAACAGAGCCGUCCAGUUUCUGAGUGGCUGGGGCUGCAGCCCCCCUAUCCGCAUGCUGUAGGGGCUGCAUGCCCACCAGAGCCGCCUCCUGCACGAGCUGAAAGGGGUCUGCAGGACCUCCCCAGCCACAGACUCCCUUGCACCAGGACUGUGCCGCCCUGCCUUGGCCCUAGUGCACAAGGGGUGGCGGGGGGAAGUGGGCACGCAGGAAGCAGAUGCUGGGCUAGGGAAGGGGAUUUUGGUGGCAGCAGCAGCAGCGAAGCGAUGGGGCAAGCAGACUCGGGACUGGGAGUUUGGGAGCUGCACGCAGCCCACAGGCCGCCAGUCGGAUGCCCGUAACUGGUUGGCUUUCUGUGGUUUACUCUCCUUAUGUGCUGUCCCUAUAUUCAUUUUAGUUCUCGUUGAGUUUUCCUUUUCUUACUCCUUCUUCGAAACAUCUCCUAGGUUGAUCCUGACGGUAAAACAAGCGUACCCGUUAAGAUGACUGCGGGGAAAGUAUCCUGUUUUCAUCUACGCAGCCUGGUGAGUUCCACGAUUUACAUUUGAAAAGUACCUCUUACAGCACAUGUCCUUAGAGCUGAUUUUUUCUAUUAUAUGAUAAGCUUCUCAUGGCUUUUCCCUCCCCCGAUACGUGUGAAGUGGGUCUAGACUUUUGGGAGAUCGCAUGUUUUUCUGUCGAAAAACCACAGGGCGGGUCAGCACUGCUACUUAGGACGCCGUAACGUGCGACUUCUCGGAGCGUGUGACAAAGAGUUCCCGUUGACGUUACACGGUAUUUAGUAUUGCCAGCCCCACAACCAAUGCUAGUUGUGCCAUUGCAUUGCUGCUGCGGCUGUUGCAUUGGUUAGCAGCAGCCCCCGAACUGACAAGCUCCACACGUCUUCAAGGCUCCCAGGAGGCAGUUUCCGGACUGGUGUUAUCACCGACCGACCGUGCUGGGCAUGGCUUAUGGCGCUAGCAGUGCCGCGGUGCUUGCAGCGGGCAUGCUGACAGCCUCUUAUCCCACGGAGAGCUCCUGACAGUCGGUCCGUUCCCGCUGGGGAUUUAACAAGGCCUUGGUUGGCAGCGCCUUCCAAGACGGGCAGUUUUCCUGUGCGGGGACAGCCUCCCGCGUCCAUCCCGCGUCUCCCUGGACGGAGCAGGGCCGGGCAGAAGCCACGCGCUACGGUUCGGAGGAGAGCAGUGCCGGGGCAGGGUUCAAGUCAGGAUGUCGUCGUCACGCUGGGGCGUUUCUCCACCUUCCUGCCGAGAGCGUCUCGUCUCCGCUUCCUGUGCUCCAACAGCCAGCGCGGAGGCGAGAGAGGCAGGGAGGCGGUGAGGGGACGGGAACAUGAGCAAGGCAGAUGCCAGUGCUGUGGGCCCCACGGGGGGUGGGUGGCGUUGCCAGAGGGAGUUUUCCCUGGGGCCAGAGGCUGCUUGUGACAGCCGAGGGAGCGGGGCUCUCGUCUGACGGUCGGGUGCGAGCACGCUGGAACGAUUCAAACGAGGCAAAGCACAGGCUCCGCGCCCCAAACUGGAAAGGUGUCGCUGCAUUCGAGUUGUUCCUGCGCAGCGUUGAAGCGUGUUCACGCUCGGUGACGAAGCUCGUUCACCCUGCGUGAUGAAGUACGUUCACACACAACAGCGAAGCACGUGGACACGCAACGAAAUGUGUGCACACAAACAGCGAAGCCUGUUCACGCGCAGUAGCGAGCGGUCUAACUGUUGUUAGGCGUGAGCUCGCUGAGAGCAACCGAGAUGAAGCAGAGGAGAGGCCCCACACGCCAAACUGGAAAGGUUUUGCUCUGGUUCAAUCCUCAGCUCGUUCACAGGCAGCAGUUAAAGCGUGUUCACGCUCAAUGAUGAGGCGUGUUCAAAUGCAAUUAGGUGCGUUCACACUCAGCGAUUUAAUAGCGUUGAAACGCGUUUACACGCAGCGUUUAAGCACAUUCGCAUAGACGAGUGACGCGCCUUCCCUUCCUCCUCAGGAUUAGAGCUUAAUAGCAGCUGCCCCUUUGAACCCUGCCCCUGGGGAAGGACUCCCAGCGUGCCUGUGUGCCGCUAAGAGCGCUGUCGCUGGGAGCAGGGCCCCGCUGGACUGGAGAGGGUUGAUGUGAGACGCUGCCAUCGUGGGGCUGAGGCUUCCUUGCAAAGGUGUGGAGCCUCUCAGUUGUUCACAGCUAGUUCACACCCAACCACGAGAACAAUGCUUUUGCGUAUGGCCACCAGCCACGAGGCGCCAGGCAAGCUGUUGUAGGGGGCAGUCUUGACUAGGAGCCUUGGGCCGGGAGACGGGGCUUGUGCGUCUCCCCUGCCCACGGGGGGCGCUCCUCCCACCGCACCGUCCAUCUCCCCCUGCUCCAAGGCCACGCGACGACAAAACGAUGCAUGCGCUCACCACGUAGUUGGUGUGUAGCGCAUCGUGCUCCAGAAGCCUCGCCUUGGUGUUGUGGCGGCCUCUGGCUCUUCCCAGGCCUUCCAGCUUUCAGUUGUGGCUCGCAUCUGACCUCUGAGACGUACCGUACCGUACCGUACCGCCUGUGUUCAGUUUGGUUCGUUUUGCUUCAUAACAGUGACGACAACAUCCACAGCUUUCCAGCAUCCUAAAGCCCCCGAUUUCUGCUGUGACAGAGGAUUUCCGUUGUAACAGAGCUGUUCGCAGGGGGUCACCAAGCAGGCUGCCCCUGACACCCCCCCCCUCAGCUGCACGCUGCUGACCGCGCUCUUCAUCCAGGUGCAGGCAGAGGGACCGCUUUCCUCCGGGCAGGCCAGCCACCCCGUCCUUCUCGGACAAGUAGUAGCCUGCCUGCCAGACUGCCGGGGGCCCCUGCCCGGCACCAGCCCCCCCCAGAUGUCUCUGACGAAGCGACGAGAUCUACUUUUUGACAGCAGCAAGUUCUCCCCGAGGGGAGGUGCACCGCUCCUGGAGGCACUGCAAUACCAGGCCGAUGCGUGGAGUGGAUGGAGCAAGCUCCGAGUCCAUCUCCCAGUUCCAAAAAUCCAUUUAAUAUAAA
This is a long non-coding RNA of Alligator mississippiensis (American alligator), 6282 nucleotides long. RefSeq lists it as uncharacterized. The record is from RefSeq and is a predicted model, not a curated record. Lineage: Eukaryota; Metazoa; Chordata; Crocodylia; Alligatoridae. The transcript has 3 exons.